Molecule: ribosomal RNA, 612 nt
Filed under: bacterium SL3.29
Lineage: Bacteria
Description: bacterial SSU rRNA
Rfam family: Bacterial small subunit ribosomal RNA
Source: RNAcentral
UGCAGUCGAACGAGACCUUCGGGUCUAGUGGCGCACGGGUGCGUAACGCGUGGGAACCUGCCUUUAGGUUCGGAAUAACUCAGAGAAAUUUGAGCUAAUACCGGAUAAUGUCUUCGGACCAAAGAUUUAUCGCCUUUAGAUGGGCCCGCGUUGGAUUAGCUAGUUGGUGGGGUAAAGGCCUACCAAGGCGACGAUCCAUAGCUGGUCUGAGAGGAUGAUCAGCCACACUGGGACUGAGACACGGCCCAGACUCCUACGGGAGGCAGCAGUGGGGAAUAUUGGACAAUGGGCGAAAGCCUGAUCCAGCAAUGCCGCGUGAGUGAUGAAGGCCUUAGGGUUGUAAAGCUCUUUUACCCGAGAUGAUAAUGACAGUAUCGGGAGAAUAAGCUCCGGCUAACUCCGUGCCAGCAGCCGCGGUAAUACGGAGGGAGCUAGCGUUGUUCGGAAUUACUGGGCGUAAAGCGCACGUAGGCGGCUUUUUAAGUCAGGGGUGAAAUCCCGGGGCUCAACCCCGGAACUGCCCUUGAAACUGGGAAGCUAGAAUCUUGGAGAGGCGAGUGGAAUUCCGAGUGUAGAGGUGAAAUUCGUAGAUAUUCGGAAAGAACACAGUGG